Molecule: ribosomal RNA, 509 nt
Filed under: Lysinibacillus fusiformis
Lineage: Bacteria; Bacillati; Bacillota; Bacilli; Caryophanales; Bacillaceae
Description: bacterial SSU rRNA
Rfam family: Bacterial small subunit ribosomal RNA
Source: RNAcentral
UGGGCGUAAGCGCGCGCAGGCGGUCCUUUAAGUCUGAUGUGAAAGCCCACGGCUCAACCGUGGAGGGUCAUUGGAAACUGGGGGACUUGAGUGCAGAAGAGGAAAGUGGAAUUCCAAGUGUAGCGGUGAAAUGCGUAGAGAUUUGGAGGAACACCAGUGGCGAAGGCGACUUUCUGGUCUGUAACUGACGCUGAGGCGCGAAAGCGUGGGGAGCAAACAGGAUUAGAUACCCUGGUAGUCCACGCCGUAAACGAUGAGUGCUAAGUGUUAGGGGGUUUCCGCCCCUUAGUGCUGCAGCUAACGCAUUAAGCACUCCGCCUGGGGAGUACGGUCGCAAGACUGAAACUCAAAGGAAUUGACGGGGGCCCGCACAAGCGGUGGAGCAUGUGGUUUAAUUCUAAGCAACGCGAAGAACCUUACCAGGUCUUGGCGGGGGUUGACCACUGUAGAAAUAAAGUUUCCCCUUCGGGGGCCACAGUGACAGGUGGUGCAUGGUUGUCGUCAGCUCG